ACCUGAGUAGUUAACUGUAACAGCUCAUGUUGUGGAUUCACCAUCUUUCCUAAGUAAUUCUGAUUUGGUAGAAGCAAUAGACAGCCGUUGCCUUUCUUUCUUCUCACGCAAGCACUCUCCGCACCAAUUAGAGAAAUCUUUUUGAUAUUUCUUCAUUUCUCUAAAUACUGAACUUCUACACCAAAGAAGUAGAUUGAUCCUAUGACCAGAUGUUGUGGCCCUGGCACCAUGCCUGUGACGACCACGAUGAAGCACAGCUCGGCCAGGGACAUGAGAAUAGUCAAAGAUCUCCUCUGACUGACUUCCAGUAUUUACAUGUUU
Molecule: unclassified non-coding RNA, 321 nt
Filed under: Hevea brasiliensis (rubber tree)
Lineage: Eukaryota; Viridiplantae; Streptophyta; Magnoliopsida; Malpighiales; Euphorbiaceae
Source: RNAcentral